CCUACGGGAGGCAGCAGUGAGGAAUAUUGGUCAAUGGCCGGGAGGCUGAACCAGCCAAGUCGCGUGAGGGAAGACGGCCCUACGGGUUGUAAACCUCUUUUGUCAGGGAGCAAAGUGCGGUUCGGGACCUGCUGUGUGAGUACCUUAAGAAAAAGCAUCGGCUAACUCCGUGCCAGCAGCCGCGGUAAUACGGAGGAUGCGAGCGUUAUCCGGAUUUAUUGGGUUUAAAGGGUGCGAGGGCGGAGGAACAAGUCAGUGGUAAAAUCGGGGGGCCAAACCCCGCUCCGCCGUUGAAACUGUGUGUCUUGAGUGCGCGAAGGGUAGGCGGAAUGCGUGGUGUAGCGGUGAAAUGCAUAGAUAUCACGCAGAACUCCGAUCGCGAAGGCAGCCUACCGGCGCGCAACUGACGCUCAUGCACGAAAGCGUGGGUAUCGAACAGGAUUAGAUACCCUUGUAGUC
This 459-nucleotide ribosomal RNA is filed under the name uncultured bacterium. Its description in RNAcentral is "partial 16S ribosomal RNA". It matches the Rfam family "Bacterial small subunit ribosomal RNA", at positions 338 to 795 of the family's 1533-position model. The record is from RNAcentral.